Molecule: long non-coding RNA, 208 nt
Filed under: Musa acuminata (dwarf banana)
Lineage: Eukaryota; Viridiplantae; Streptophyta; Magnoliopsida; Zingiberales; Musaceae
Description: long non-coding RNA (MACU_LNC003435)
Source: RNAcentral
UGCUUUAAAAUCUUAAGUUUUUGGAAUGGAUCUUAGUAUUUUAUUAACAAGUUUAAAAUUAGAAAAUAUUUUACCUAGUAUUUUUAGACCAUUGAUGACAUCUGUAAAACGAGUAUGUCUCACUUAGUUUCAUACGAAAUAACUCAUAGCUAUAAACUAAAAGAUUAAUUUUUGACUCUUUAACCCUACUUAUGCUUUCGUAUGUAAC